UACGUAGGGGGCGAGCGUUGUCCGGAAUCAUUGGGCGUAAAGCGCGUGUAGGCGGCCCGGUAAGUCCGCUGUGAAAGUCCAGGGCUCAACCCUGGGAUGCCGGUGGAUACUGUCGGGCUCGAGUCCGGAAGAGGCGAGUGGAAUUCCUGGUGUAGCGGUGAAAUGCGCAGAUAUCAGGAGGAACACCGAUUGCGAAGGCAGCUCGCUGGAACGUUACUGACGCUGAGACGCGAAAGCGUGGGGAGCAAACAGG
RNAcentral lists this ribosomal RNA (253 nucleotides) under uncultured bacterium. RNAcentral describes it as "partial 16S ribosomal RNA". It matches the Rfam family "Bacterial small subunit ribosomal RNA", at positions 524 to 776 of the family's 1533-position model. The record is from RNAcentral.